GUCGAUCAUACCAUGUUGAAGAUGAGCGGGUGGCAGCGACAGAGCCAAAAUAACAGCCGGAACCUGAGGAGAGAGGCGAGUACUGACUCCGUCUACCCCUUACUUUCCCAUCCUCGCCAACAUAGCUAUUCCACAAAGUUAGAGGCAACUGUCCUUGAGGGUGUAGCCCCACCCCUUCCACUGUGAGUUUGUAGACUGAGGGGCGAGUGAAGGCGGGUAAUUCCUGAUUCGGGAAUGGUGCUUACAGGCCACCUCUUUGGGCGAUUGCAUUCCCGUUCCCUUGUCUCAGGUUGGUCCCUGCUCUGCAAAGGGACUCCGGUUGCCUUCGGAAAUUUGUCUCAGUACUGACCAUUUGCGGGCCAUCUUAGGCCUAGGCGGUUCGCAGGAAAGGUGGGGCAACAGGACACACCCCCCAAUGUUGGGGACUCCGGCUGUUAGCACCUCUUCUCCACCAGCCUCAUUCCCCCCAACUCUUUCAAGCUGAAGCGCCUCAGGGACCACCAACAUGGCCACUUUAGUAGCUGUCUCUAACGUUCAAGACAACUCAAAGACUGACAGAUCUUUGCGAGUGGGGGUGCCGGUGGGAGGAGCAUAGAUGGGUUUUUCCCUUUUCCCCAGAGGUUUCUGGGUUUCCGUACAAGAGAGCAGCCUGGGUCUCUUUAACUAUGGGAAAUUACUUGGGAUCUCUCCAGGGUCUUCUGCUUCUCUUAGGACUGAUCUCUGCUUCUUUCCUCAGUCCUGUCUCCCAACUAAUCUCUGUAACCGUUGCAUCAGGCCAGCCCACUGUUUGUCUCUGCACCCUCAGGCCUGGGGCUCCUCUGCUGAUGAAAGCCAGGUCCCACACACUGGAAGACCAAGGAGUUUUCCCUAGAGGACAACCCUGCAGAGAAACACUCAGGGCAAUAUUGCGUCUGCAGUCCCCAGAGACAGGCAGCUCAGCUCUGCCUUUGGGCUCAGUGGGCUUAGUUGUUCUCUAUUCGUUCCUAACAAAUGCCUAAUAAGCACCCACUAUGUGCCAAGCAUUUGGGGAUCCAGGGUAUAUUAGAAGCAAAAGACGAAACUGUUCUCAAUAAAACUUACAUUUCAAUGUAAAGCAAAAGGGGGGAAAAACAGAAGCAGGGAAAAAAUAGUUCAGGAUGGUGGCUAGAGGUUUUAUCAUUCAGGAAUUGCCUCAGUGGGUGGGUGAGAUGGAAAGAAGGCAAGCCUGUGAGCCAAGCAGGUAAUGUGGAAGAGGUUUAUAGAAGGGAGAGAAGGAGCAGAAGGGUUGAGAUGAGUGUGCCAGUAUCCUUAGGAGCAGGGCAGUGAGCUGGACUAGAGUAAGCAGGAGAGGGUGGUGAAUGGAAACUCAAGUAGCAGGUCCUGUAGAGCCUUGCAAGCAUUCUCAGGAUGCUAGUCUUUCAACAGUCCUGAAACAGGAAUCCAUUGGGGGAUCUGAGCAGAGGAAUGUCCUAAAUUAAAAGGGUUGGGGAAAGACCCCAUGCAUUUAAUUCCAACACUCAAAGAGGUAGGAGCAGGCAGAGCUCUGAGCUCCAGGCCAGCAUAGUCAGAUCCUAACUCAAAAUAAAUACAAAAACAAAGGGUUGAGUGUGUAGCUCAAUAGUAGACUGCUUGCCUAGUAUGUAGAGGGCCCUAGGUCAACCCGCAGCCAUGAAAAUAAAAAAGACAAGAAUAGAAACAGGAGAUCUUAGCUGGAAAUAAUGGCAAAUGCCUUUAACCCCAGCACUUGAAAGGUAGGUAGAUCAGAGUUCAAAGCCAGCUAGUCUACAAAGUAAGUUCCAGGACAGCAAAAGCUACACAGCAAGACCCUGUCUAAAAAAAAAAAAAAAAAAAAAAAAAAAAAGAUUUCAAGGCUUCCAAAAAUAAUCUAGGGAAUGAAAUGCAUAAUGCAUGGUAAGUUUACAUCUGGAAAUAAUGAGAAAAAGUGAGAAAUAUUUAGGUUUUGGGUACUUCUAAAGAAUAUUGAAGUUGCCAGUGCUUUAGACUGAGCUGUGGUAUCUGAGAAGGGAGGAAUUAAGGAUACCAAAUGUUUGGCUUUAGGCACCUAUAGUUGCCAUUUAGUAAGAACUGUACCCCCUUGGUAGGAAAGGCCUUUUGUGUAAGCUGAAUGCCUGCUCAACAACCAAAAGAGAUGGAGAUCCCAGGGCAGGUCUGGAGGCUAGGAUGGGAAUGGAGUUUAAGCAAAUACUGCUGAAAUCUCUCUUCCCUGUAUUUUAGUUCUCACUUUGGCAGAUCUGAGGUCUAUCUGGAUUUAGAGAAAACUUAGUUGGCCAGGACUUUGCUAUUAUGUAAUCAGGACUACAAAUGUCAGCAACUAAAAAUAAAGUUAAGCAUGCCUGUCCUUGGCUUCAGGGACACACACACACACACACACACACACACACACACACACACACACACACACGAGCCUCUCUGUGGCCUGGUCUACAGAGUUGAGUUCCAGAAUUCCAGGAUGCCCCGGGCUUCACAGAGAAACUGUCUCAAAAUCCAAUGACAGAAAUUAAGAAACCAGCUAGAGAAAGACCAGUAAGAGGCUAGAGGUAAAGGACCUGUU
This 2551-nucleotide long non-coding RNA is filed under the name Rattus norvegicus (Norway rat). RNAcentral's name for it is "long non-coding RNA NONRATT025875". Lineage: Eukaryota; Metazoa; Chordata; Mammalia; Rodentia; Muridae. The record is from RNAcentral.